RNAcentral lists this ribosomal RNA (383 nucleotides) under uncultured bacterium. RNAcentral's name for it is "bacterial SSU rRNA". It matches the Rfam family "Bacterial small subunit ribosomal RNA", at positions 30 to 420 of the family's 1533-position model. The record is from RNAcentral.
AUUGAACGCUGGCGGCAUGCCUUACACAUGCAAGUCGAACGGUAACAGGUUAAGCUGACGAGUGGCGAACGGGUGAGUAAUGUAUCGGAACGUGCCCAGUCGUGGGGGAUAACUGCUCGAAAGAGCAGCUAAUACCGCAUACGACCUGAGGGUGAAAGCGGGGGAUCGCAAGUCCUCGCGCGAUUGGAGCGGCCGAUAUCAGAUUAGGUAGUUGGUGGGGUAAAGGCCUACCAAGCCUACGAUCUGUAGCUGGUCUGAGAGGACGACCAGCCACACUGGGACUGAGACACGGCCCAGACUCCUACGGGAGGCAGCAGUGGGGAAUUUUGGACAAUGGACGCAAGUCUGAUCCAGCCAUGCCGCGUGCGGGAAGAAGGCCUCGG